GACGAACGCUGGCGGCGUGCCUAAUACAUGCAAGUCGAGCGAAGUUUUUCUGGUGCUUGCACUAGAAAAACUUAGCGGCGAACGGGUGAGUAACACGUAAAGAACCUGCCUCAUAGACUGGGACAACUAUUGGAAACGAUAGCUAAUACCGGAUAACAGUAUUUCUCGCAUGGGAGAUAUUUAAAAGUUGGUUAUGCUAACACUGUGAGAUGGCUUUGCGGUGCAUUAGCUAGUUGGUGGGGUAAAGGCCCACCAAGGCGACGAUGCAUAGCCGACCUGAGAGGGUGAUCGGCCACACUGGGACUGAGACACGGCCCAGACUCCUACGGGAGGCAGCAGUAGGGAAUCUUCCGCAAUGGGCGAAAGCCUGACGGAGCAACGCCGCGUGAGUGAAGAAGGAUUUCGGUUCGUAAAGCUCUGUUGUUAGGGAAGAAUGGAUAUGUAGUAACUAUACAUGUAAGAGACG
This 466-nucleotide ribosomal RNA is filed under the name Gemella morbillorum. Its description in RNAcentral is "bacterial SSU rRNA". It matches the Rfam family "Bacterial small subunit ribosomal RNA", at positions 28 to 474 of the family's 1533-position model. The record is from RNAcentral. Lineage: Bacteria; Bacillati; Bacillota; Bacilli; Caryophanales; Gemellaceae.